UUAAACCCAAAUAAUAACCUAGACCUAACCUAUUAAAACACUAGGACUAAAGAGUUGGAGAUACAUGCUGCCCUAGAGCUAAAAAAAUCAACGCCGUUUUCAGCAAAUACACGGACCCCUCCUCCCCGUUAUGGAUCUCCUUCAGCAAAAAUGAGGGAGUCCCAUCGUUGCUUCUUCUCCACGCCUUCUCCGCCACUACUUCUUCUUCUCCGGUCGAAAAUUCGGCAGUUCCCUCUCAUUUUCUGGCUGGGCCGUUCAUCUUCCUCAGCACACCACAAACAAUCGAUCUUCUCGACCUCUCAACCAUAAAGCCACCAUCGAAUCCCUCUCAUCCGUUUACUCGAACAUACUAGUUACAGAACUAAAUAAACUUUCAAAUUUUUUGCUGUUUUAAGUUUCAUUCUAAAAAGAUGAAAAGCCAAAAAAGAUUUUCACCUUCUUAUCUUAAGUUUUAUUAGCUUCAGAUUCAACCAAAGAAAAAAAGGAAUUCAAAAAAAAAUCCUUAGAUCCCUUUGAUUAGAGUUUAUUUCAAGAGGAAGAAAUCCAAACAAAACCGGAGUUGCAAUGAGGUGCUCGUGUUUGGCCAAGAAGUUCUGAUCUUAUUCGUAGUCUGAUCCGAUGCUAAAUGGACCUGUGGUUUGGAAGUUUGCUGAUUUUUGUUGCCGGUUUGAGGAUCGUCGUGUCGAGUUCCGGUCGCAACUGUAUCUUUAUUUCAGUCCGUGUAACUAUUGGAAUUUUUAUUAAUUGGAAGAAAUUUCAGGUUCAAUUCUCUCCUCUCUCAUUAUAUUCUAGUGUCGAUCUUAAUAUUGUUUGUGUCCAAAUUAUGGUUUUUGCUGGAUUUGUGAUGUUAAUUGGUUUGAGUGAAUUCUUACUUGAAAUUCUUUUUAGAACGGAGGGAUAUUAAUCUUGACGGGAGGUUUUUGAAAUAUCAACUUUAGUAUGCACCUUAAGAAGUUCAUGUAGAGAGCGUUGUUGAUGGUGUAGUUAUUCUGUUGUGUGAAUAAGUAUUGCUCUCUGAAAGUUGGUCUUCUCUUUUAUAAUCAGUUGAGUCUUAGUAAUAUGCAAAUGCAUUCCUAAAAUUUGAAUUGUUCUUUUCCCUUAUAUCUGUGAUUAUCUUACUGGUUGCAAUUGGAAAUUGUUUAUCAUACACUAGCGAAUGAAACCACUUGUUUUGUCAUGUGUUGUUGACUGAAGGGUUGCGGAGAGUAUUGGAGAAGAUGUUAAGGAUUUAAAAGAAGGAGAUUCAGUUGUCCCGAUACAUAGCUAGUAUACUUUAGGCAUGUAUUAAUAAACCAAUCAUCGUGAUUGUGUACACGUUCGCGUGACAUAAUUACGAUCUUAAAAACCAACUCGGAGUAUGCGUUUGUGCAACUUCGAUAAGAUUUUCUUAAUAAUGAAUUUGUUGUUAAUAGGCCGCUAAAUUAAAUGUAGUUCAGGUGUGUCAUUCACAAUUUAAUCAUCCAUGGCCCUCGUAUUAAUCGUAUGACUUAGAUAUAAAAAUGAAAAACACUUGUAGUCCUUUAGGCCCGUUUAAUAUACCAUCGUGGUUGCGUACACGUUCGCGUGAUAUAAUUACGAUUCUAAAAAUAAAACCGGG
This 1597-nucleotide long non-coding RNA is filed under the name Nicotiana tabacum (common tobacco). RNAcentral's name for it is "long non-coding RNA (NTAB_LNC018200)". Lineage: Eukaryota; Viridiplantae; Streptophyta; Magnoliopsida; Solanales; Solanaceae. The record is from RNAcentral.